Long non-coding RNA from Pongo pygmaeus (Bornean orangutan), 2272 nucleotides. RefSeq lists it as uncharacterized. The transcript is spliced from 3 exons. The record is from RefSeq and is a predicted model, not a curated record. NCBI's taxonomy places the organism in Eukaryota, Metazoa, Chordata, Mammalia, Primates, Hominidae.
GCCCCUGGGCUGGGAGGAGGCGGCUGCGGCCGCGCGGGUGGCCUCGGGGGCUGACCUUGUCUCUUGUGCCUGCCGGGCGCCUGGGCCAGGUCGGCCUGGGGCAGGCGGGCGUCGGAGGGGCAGUUUUGAAGCCCGAGUGAGGAGGCAGAGGGCGGGAUGCGGACGAGGCCAGGGAGUUCACGAAACUUCUGGAGUUCUCAGUUUCCUCCUAAGUCGACUGGGGCUGGGUCCCGUGCCGCCAGGCGGGCUGGCUGAGGGGAUGGGCUGGGGCGACAAGACAGCAGCCACCUGGCCCGGGUACUUGGGGUCAGACCGGCUUCGAGGCCCCCGGACCGCCGUGUUAUCAGGACGGGUAGGGAGCCCACGGGACGCGUGGUGCUCAGAAGAGCAGGGAGGCGUGUGGACGGGGCCUGCCCGAGCUGCAACACCCCGUGCCUCCAGGCUGCGAGACCCGCCCAGAUGAGAAAAUGGGGCCUCAGAGAUGAUGGCUGAGCUGUGAAAAGGUGGGGUCAGAAGCCAGGCCCAGUCUCCUGAAUUCCAGACUCCAGAAUCUCCCCCAGGAUUGAGCAAGCGUCAGUCAGACACUCCAGCCUGCCAGGACUGUGCCAGGACAAGGCGACACCAGACCCUGUCCUCCGGCCACAUCAGGGAGGGGUUGGCGAACAAGGGAAGGAACAACAGGAAGGUGCCAGUGGAGAGACCAGGCGUGUGCGAUGGCGGUGGCAGUCCUCCUUCCUGCAGAUCACCCAAAGCCAAACAGCAAGGAAAUGCAGGCGCGGGCAAGCAAAGCCAGGAGCCCCUGAUGCCCACGCUGUUAGCCACCCAUCCACCUGGGUGCGGAAGAUGCUCUCGGGCUUCACACUGAGAGAGAGGCUGGAGGUGGGUGAUGGCCCAGGUGAGUUCAGAACAGGCUGUGGGGCGGGGGCACUCCCACAUCUCUAGCAGGGCUUAGAGAAUAGGCAAAAGUGGAUUCCAAACUCGGCGAGGCAGUGAGUAUCCCCUCCAUGGAGGGUAACCGAGCCUCUCUGGGGACUCCUGGGGUGGUAGACGGGAGAGGAGAUUUCUCCCCGGAGGGGAGACCAGCCUGCUGGCCUGGGCUCGGCAGCAGCUGAAACUCCUUUUGGGGAAUUUUCUUGGGAGCUGAUUUAUGAGGCACAGGACGAGCCCAGUGUGGUGCAGCCCCACCCUGCUUGUGUCCAAACACAGCCUGUUGCUGUGGGCACCCUCACCUCGCUCCUGGCCCAGGGAAGGGCGACUUGCCAGGGCACACAGAGCCUCCUACCAGGAGCCGGCCUGAUCCCUAACCUCUGACCCUGGGAGCAUUUGGGCGGUGCUGGCUGAGGAAGCAAAACUGCCAGUGUGGUGUCCAUCACACUUUCUACAUGUUUUAGCAGCAGGGUGUUUGUUUGUUCAUUUAAGAGACAGGGUCUGGCUUUGUUGCCCAAGCUGGAGUGCAGCAGUGUGAGCAUGGCUCACUGCAGCCUUAAACUCCCAGGCUCAAGCGCUCCUCCUGCCUCAGCCUCCAGAGUAGCUAGGACUGUGACAUGUGCCUCCACAGCUGGCUUAGCAGCAGAUUUCUUCUUGCAAACAAAACCUCACAAGGAGGAACUCCAAGUUAGAGAACUAGCUUAUUCCUAUACUAGCAAGCAUCAGCCGAACACCUACAUGUCAGGCCUGCACAAGACAAGGUGAUAUCAGGCCCCGUCCUCCGGCCACAUCAGGGAGGGGUCAGUGAACAAGCCAAGGAGCGACAGGAAGAUGCUGUGAGCACGGCCAGGAGCAUGCAGGGGCAGCGGCUGCUUCCCCUCCCUGCAGAACACACCACCUAAGAGAGAAGCUGCUCAUAACUGGAGAUCAGCAGCAUGCCCAGUUCACAGAGAGGGAAACAGAGGCACGGUGGGAGCAAGUAACUGCGGAGAGGGAUCGGUUAAGGAAGGAAUGCAAUGGGAUGAGGCCUAGGUAUCUACCCAAAAGAAUUAAAAGCCAGGACUCGGCCGGGCGCGGUGGCUCAUGCCUGUAAUCCCAGCACUUUGGGAGGCCGAGGAGGGUGGAUCAUGAGGUCAGGGGUUCGAUACCAGCCUGACCAACAUGGUGAAACCCCGUCUCUACUAAAAAUACAAAAAUUAGCUGGGCGUGGUGGUGGGCGCCUGUAAUCCCAGCUACUCAGGACGCUGAGGCAGGAGAAUUGCUUGAACCCGGGAGGCGGAGCUUGCAGUGAGCCAAGAUCGCGCCACUGCACUCCAGCCUGGGCGACAGAGCGAGACUCUGUCUC